UACGUAGGGUGCAAGCGUUGUCCGGAAUUAUUGGGCGUAAAGAGCUCGUAGGCGGUCUGUCGCGUCUGCUGUGAAAACUCGGGGCUUAACCCCGGGCCUGCAGUGGGUACGGGCAGACUAGAGUGCGGUAGGGGAGACUGGAAUUCCUGGUGUAGCGGUGAAAUGCGUAGAUAUCGUAAGGAAGACCAGUGGCGAAGGCGGGUCUCUGGACAGUUCCUGACGCUGAGGCACGAAGGCCAGGGGAGCAAACGGG
RNAcentral lists this ribosomal RNA (253 nucleotides) under uncultured bacterium. RNAcentral describes it as "partial 16S ribosomal RNA". It matches the Rfam family "Bacterial small subunit ribosomal RNA", at positions 524 to 776 of the family's 1533-position model. The record is from RNAcentral.